UGGCCGUUAGGCAGGCUCACGAACCACUCUAACGCCGUUCCCUGGAGCGUACUCACGAACAUCUUGCAGUAGACAGCGUCUGACCCUCCUGACAGCAUCAUCUGCGUAUGGAACGUGGUGAGAUGAGCCUCAGGAUCCUCCACGCCGGUGAAAACAGCCUUAACCGGAACCACGCUCGCGGGAAUGGGCGUGUCCGUGAUCGCCUGAAUAAAAGGCAUGGGAAAAACACGAGGUGG
RNAcentral lists this long non-coding RNA (236 nucleotides) under Phaseolus vulgaris (common bean). RNAcentral's name for it is "long non-coding RNA (PVUL_LNC000672)". Lineage: Eukaryota; Viridiplantae; Streptophyta; Magnoliopsida; Fabales; Fabaceae. The record is from RNAcentral.